Molecule: ribosomal RNA, 468 nt
Filed under: uncultured bacterium
Lineage: Bacteria
Description: partial 16S ribosomal RNA
Rfam family: Bacterial small subunit ribosomal RNA
Source: RNAcentral
GACGAACGCUGGCGGUGUGCCUAACACAUGCAAGUCGAACGGAAACGCACUGCUUGCGUGCGGUUACCGAGUGGCGAAGGGGGGAGUAACACGUGAGUAACCUGCCCUUGACUUUGGGAUAACUUCAGGAAACUGGGCUUAAUACCGGAUAGGAGCCCCCGCUGCGGGGAGGGGGGUGGAACGUUUCGGCGGUUGGGGAUGGACUCGCGGCUUAUCAGCUUGCUGGUGGGGUAGUGGCUUACCAAGGCUUGGACGGGUAGCCGGCCUGGGAGGGUGACCGGCGACAAUAGGACUGAGAGACGGCCCAGACUCCAACGGUAGGCAGCAGUGGGGAAUAUUACACAAUGGGCGGGAGCCUGAUGCGGCGACGCCGGGUGCGGGAUGACGGCCUUCGGGUUGUAAACCGCAUUCGCCUGUGACGAAGCGGGAGUGACGGUAAUGGGUAAAGAAGCACCGGCUAACUACGUG